This 179-nucleotide non-coding RNA is filed under the name Pelosinus fermentans. Lineage: Bacteria; Bacillati; Bacillota; Negativicutes; Selenomonadales; Sporomusaceae. The record is from RNAcentral.
UUAAAUAAUAAUGAAAUAGGUGCCCUACGGGGCUUAAUAGGGAAGUUCGGUGCAAUGCCGACGCGGUCCCGCCACUGUAAUAGGGAGCAAAGCCAUAGGUGCCACUGGGGUAAGAUCCUGGGAAGGCUGGCAGAGCAAUGAACUAGAGCCAGGAGAACUGCCUAUUUGACAAUCACCGU